This 349-nucleotide ribosomal RNA is filed under the name uncultured bacterium. RNAcentral describes it as "bacterial SSU rRNA". It matches the Rfam family "Bacterial small subunit ribosomal RNA", at positions 917 to 1267 of the family's 1533-position model. The record is from RNAcentral.
GGGCCCGCACAAGCAGUGGAGCAUGUGGUUUAAUUCGAAGCAACGCGCAGAACCUUACCAGGGUUUGACAUCCUGCGAAUCUCUUGGAAACAGGAGAGUGCCUUCGGGAACGCAGUGACAGGUGGUGCAUGGCUGUCGUCAGCUCGUGUCGUGAGAUGUUGGGUUAAGUCCCGCAACGAGCGCAACCCACGUCUUUAGUUGCCAGCAUUUAGUUGGGCACUCUAGAGAGACUGCCGGUGAUAAACCGGAGGAAGGUGUGGAUGACGUCAAGUCAUCAUGCCCCUUACAUCCUGGGCUACACACGUACUACAAUGGCAAGUACAGACGGCCGCUAACCCGCGAGGGGGAG